AGUGCUUAGCACUGUAGCAGCAUCGUCGACGCCGCUGGCUGCUGCAGCAUCCGGCGAGCGUCCACCUGGCGCCGCCGCCUUUCCCCUUUGCUCCGGUCCUUCCCCGUCAAGACCGCCGCCUAUUUCGUUUGCGCGCGCCGCCUCCUUCGUCCGCCACCUCCUCCGCUGCCUCUGCUCGCCCAUCCACCCUCAAGCACACGCGUGCGGCUCCUCCCACCUCCACCUACACUACGGCGCCUUCUGCGCGUGUGGUCGUCAUCACCGCAGCAACGCCACCCAUCGGCCGUCGUCGCUCACCGCAGCUGCGUGGUUCCACCCUCCUUUCCUCAUCAAGAUGGCGGUUGAUCGGGCUUGGAUGUACAGACAGCCCCGAGUUUGGGAGACAUUACUAAAUGGGGUCAAUGGUUUUCUAGCUCAAGCAGAGGCAGACAUGAGAAAUCGGAGUGUGCCUACAAUGCAUUGCCCCUGUGUUGAUUGUGUGAACCAGAAGAAGUUCGGACAAUGGGACAACAUUUUCCAUCAUUUGAUCACACGUGGAUUCAAAAAAAAUUACACAUGUUGGAAUAAGCAUGGUGAGGAAGGCCUUAUUGAAGGCGAUGAAGGAUGCUUUAAUGAAGGUGAAGCGCGAUGCCAUGCUCAAGGCCUUAAUGAAGGGGCAUGGCGACGCCAUGAUGAAGCCCUUAAUGAAGGGGAAGAAGAAUGCGGAAAUAACUUUGAGGAAGAUGAAGCAUUCCCGCCCAUUGUGAUGCGGCCUGAGGAUAUGACUGACCAAGAAGUUACGGGUUUCAAUGAUGAUGAUUUGCUGCCUUGUGUGAACAAUGUUGAGAGAUGUUGAGUUUCAAGGCGUGUACACAUCUUCUGAAUUAGCAAGGCUGAAACCCCUCUACCCUGGUUGUCACAAGUACUCUCGUCUUUCUGGUGAUCUCAAACUUUUGCAGCUUAAGGCACGUCAUGGUUGGACCGAUAAAAGUUCCAAACAACUAUUGGAUCUGCUAAAAGACAUGCUACAAGAGAGAAACCAAGUGGUCGGGUCUGUCUACGAGGCUAAGAAGAUAAUCUGCCUUUUGCACUUAGAUGUUGAGAGAAUCCAUGCAUGUAAGAACAACUGUGUGUUGUUCUGUGGAGAGUAUGAGGACCUUAACAAUUGCCCUAAGUGUGGGUUCGGUCGUUUCAAGAGGACAAAAGAUGGAGGAGAUAAUGCUGAUGACGGAAACGAGCCCGUGAAGAUCAGAGGCAAGAAGGGUAAUAGAGGGGGUCCUGUGAGGGUGGCAUGGUAUUUUUCCAUCAUUCCCCGCUUGAAACGCAUGUUUGCCACACGAAAGGAGGCCCAACUCUUGCGUUGGCAUAAGGAAGGCCGAAAGAAGACGGGCGAUGGCAAGCUUAGGCACCCCGCAGAUGCAGCACAGUGGGUAACAUAGAUACCCACUAUCCUUCGUUUGCCGAAUAUAUUUGCAAGAACAUUCGUUCCCUAUGAGCACAGACGGUGUGAACCCAUUCGAUAACCAGAGUUCAACGCAUAGCACCUGGCCUGUCGUGUUGUCAGUGUUGAACCUUCCACCCUGACUAUGCAAGAAAUGAAAAUACUUGAUGUUGUCAAUCUUGGUCUCCGGGCCAAAGCAACCCGGUGAUCGUAUUGAUGUCUACUUGAGGCCAUUGGUUGAUGACUUCCAGACACUUUGGAAGCCUGGUGUGGAGAUUUGGUAUGAGUUUUAGUGUAAGGACUUUACAUUGCAUGCCAUGUUGUUCACCACCAUCAAUGACAACCCGGCUCAUCGCAACCUUUCCAGGCAGAGUAAAAGGAAAGGUGAAGCUUGCCCCCACUGCUUAGAUGAAACCUUCUCAUUAUGGUUGAAAAAUUCAAAGAAAUUCGUAUUUUUGGGGCACCAUCAUUUCCUCCUUAAGAAAUAUCCAUACCGGAACAUGGAUUGUUAGUUUGAUGGGGAAAAGGAGAAUCGAACAGCGCCUCCACAUGUAUCCAGAAUGGAGGUCCAUUUACAAGUCAAAGGCAUCAAAACUAUCGAGGAGUUACCAAAGAAGACCAUCCUUGGCAAAAGAAAGAAGCGAGAUGGUGAAGAAGAAGAUGGGCACGGAAUGUGAAACAAGAAAUCAAUAUUAUGGGAGGUAGAAUAUUGGGAGUUGUUGAAUGUGCAUCAUUCUAUUGACAACAUGCACAUCAAGAAGAAUGUGUGUGAGAGCAUGUGUGGAACAUUGUGUGGCAGAACCAGUUUGAAUUAUACCAAUUCGAGUGCGCUAAACAUCUAAACGCACCUUAACCGGUAUAAUCAUUGGUCUGUCGGGUAACAUCCCGAUGUAACCACUGAAUAUCCGAUCGUAACACAAGUAUACAUCCCGCACGAAGGCAAGUCAAAGAUACAACAUUCCACAAUAUUUCACAUCACAUAGAUAAGGGGUGUAAUUUACAUCAAAGUUUAAAGCUAGUAAACAAAUUUUCUAGCUUUUACAAACUUAUUCAAAGGAACUUUAAAGAA
Molecule: long non-coding RNA, 2489 nt
Organism: Panicum virgatum (switchgrass)
Lineage: Eukaryota; Viridiplantae; Streptophyta; Magnoliopsida; Poales; Poaceae
Exons: 3
Source: RefSeq, a predicted model, not a curated record